GACGAACGCUGGCGGCGUGCUUAACACAUGCAAGUCGAACGGAAAGGCCCUGCUUUUGUGGGGUGCUCGAGUGGCGAACGGGUGAGUAACACGUGAGUAACCUGCCCUUGACUUUGGGAUAACUUCAGGAAACUGGGGCUAAUACCGGAUAGGAGCUCCUGCUGCAUGGUGGGGGUUGGAAAGUUUCGGCGGUUGGGGAUGGACUCGCGGCUUAUCAGCUUGUUGGUGGGGUAGUGGCUUACUAAGGCUUUGACGGGUAGCCGGCCUGAGAGGGUGACCGGCCACAUUGGGACUGAGAUACGGCCCAGACUCCUACGGGAGGCAGCAGGGGGGAAUAUUGCACAAUGGGCGGAAGCCUGAUGCAGCAACGCCGCGUGCGGGAUGACGGCCUUCGGGUUGUAAACCGCUUUCGCCUGUGACGAAGCGUGAGUGACGGUAAUGGGUAAAGAAGCACCGGCUAACUACGUGC
RNAcentral lists this ribosomal RNA (469 nucleotides) under uncultured bacterium. Its description in RNAcentral is "partial 16S ribosomal RNA". It matches the Rfam family "Bacterial small subunit ribosomal RNA", at positions 28 to 508 of the family's 1533-position model. The record is from RNAcentral.